Long non-coding RNA from Aethalodelphis obliquidens (Pacific white-sided dolphin), 903 nucleotides. RefSeq lists it as uncharacterized. NCBI's taxonomy places the organism in Eukaryota, Metazoa, Chordata, Mammalia, Artiodactyla, Delphinidae. The record is from RefSeq and is a predicted model, not a curated record. The transcript has 4 exons.
GUCUGUUACACAAUAACUCCUCAGAGUGCUGAGUGGAGACAAGAGUGAACACAAUACACUAUUUGCUCGUGGCACCUGAGCCUCUCCAGUCUUGAGGCCUAUCCCUUCCCUCCCUUCUCUGGUGAAGAGAGAUGUGACUCAUCUCUGCAGCUCUUUUGGAUACAGAGGUCUGACUCUCUCUGACUCUAUAGUUACCAGGAAGGCUGUCUCACCCAGGCCCAGAGAGUCGUGGGCCCUACUAGGCCAGUUAAACCUUGGAGUCAAACACAGUAGUAUUAGGAUUUAGCAAGGAAAGACAUAGAUGGAAAAUUUUCCAUUUUGAGAUCUGGGAAAAGAGGUCGAAGUCGAUGAGGUGCCAGGAAUUGGUACCUAGGUGCCUCGGAUCCUGUUUGUGACCAAACUUGCCACACCAGAUGCAGUAAUGAGAAUUUAGGUGGCCCCUCUGGUCUCUGAAGAAACCUGAUGUUUUGGAAGUUACUCCUGCCCUGACUGCUCUAGGUAGGCCUGAUUCUCCAAGGGACACCUCAUAGCACCUUGUCCUAUGACUUGCUGCAGAACCCUCUCAGCCCCAGAUCUCUCUGCAACUGGCCUAGAAAACAGCGAGGGCUCCUAGGUCACCAGCAUACAGGGACAGAUACUCGACGCUGCUUGUGACAGCAUUGCAAGCACAUGCCUGACAUACUUUGGAAAGGCUGCCUGGUUCUAUUACUGGUGCAUGAAAGUUUUGCUCCGGUAGGAAAUCUCUAAAUUUAGAUGAUUUUCAGGAUGAACUCUGAGUGAUCUUUGUCCCCAACACGAGUAAGGAAUUGGAGGUCACCUUGCUUUUUACUAUUUAUUUUUUUAAUUUAUUUACUUUAUUUUAAAUGCCAGAGUUGAUGUUUAAUAAUGCAAAACUUUUGAAGA